CGGGACGGGUGAGUAAUGUCGUGGGAAACUGCCUGAUGGGAGGGGGAUACUACUGGAAACGGUAGCUAAUACCGCAUAACGUCGCAAGACCAAAGAGGGGGACCUUCGGGCCUCUUGCCAUCGGAUGUGCCCAGAUGGGAUUAGCUAGUAGGUGGGGUAACGGCUCACCUAGGCGACGAUCCCUAGCUGGUCUGAGAGGAUGGCCAGCCACACUGGAACUGAGACACGGUCCAG
Molecule: ribosomal RNA, 234 nt
Filed under: uncultured bacterium
Lineage: Bacteria
Description: partial 16S ribosomal RNA
Rfam family: Bacterial small subunit ribosomal RNA
Source: RNAcentral